GUCGACGUACUUCAAGGAUCAGCCACUGAAUCCAA
RNAcentral lists this small RNA (35 nucleotides) under Saccharomyces cerevisiae S288C. RNAcentral describes it as "U3 snoRNA from Saccharomyces cerevisiae S288C (PDB 6ZQF, chain D4)". The record is from RNAcentral. Lineage: Eukaryota; Fungi; Ascomycota; Saccharomycetes; Saccharomycetales; Saccharomycetaceae.